AGCGUUUAACAGGUAGGCUGUGUGUGUGCGACAAGGCUCUGCAGGGAAUAUAAAUAUAUUUACAUUUUAGCAUAUGUAAAUCACAGUAAAAGAGGUUAAACUGAAAGUUACUGGGUGAAUACAGUUACCCUCUUAGCACCAGUAGGAGGAGGCAGCUUAACAGUGGCACGUUGUAGAAAACUUGAAGUACAUUCAGUUGACAACAGGCAGAAAUGAGAGAAGGCAGGCUAGACGAGCGAGCGGCCCAUGUGCAGUUCCCUCAUUGGGAUCAUCCUGCUGCUAAACAUGGCCAGCAGGAGGCAGAAGGGGACGGACGGAGUGAAAUCUUCCGAAGGUAAAAGCUAUAGGUAAGGCAUUACUUUACCUGAGAUAUCCUCCAAAAACAACUCUUUUAAAUCAAAGGUAGCAUCUAUUCAUCUAUAUGUGGUAUAUGCCAAUGGAUUCAGUGCUUUUUAAAAGACAAAUUUGGUUUCAGGUUUUUCGAGCUACAAUUAAUUAAGAUGACAUUUGUGAGCGAAAAAUCUACUCAGGCUCAUUGGAAAUACUUUGCCUCUAGCUACAUUUCUGCUGCAGCUUCCAGUUAAAAUGAACACUAGAGGCAGUAAAACUGACAACUUUUAUUAUAUUUACAGGGUUAGAGUUUUGAUUAAGAAAAAGUAGUUUUCGCACAAAUUCCUUGCACAAUAUUGUAUUAUGACUUAAAAUCUAUUUUAACAAGCUGCGAGAUUUGAAAACGGAUACUUUUUAAUAUUAGCACCACGUAUCCAGCUUCGUAUGUUUGGGUUUUCUAACUCCGUAGAUUUGCUUGGUAGCUCACGUGAUAUGGCAUUGCACUUGUGAGGUCAACCGCUCCAAUACGAAUCCUAUGAAACUACUAUGAGUCAAUGAAUGGGUUUUUAUAUCACUUUUGCAUUUGGGUAGGUUUAGGGUUGGGUUUAGUGUAGAGGGGUUUGUUAUUUUCCAACAAAACAGAGCAUUAACCUUACAGCAACACUUCCCGGACAUUUUAAAUCUGAACUGUCGUAAUACG
Carassius auratus (goldfish) is the source of this 1030-nucleotide long non-coding RNA. RefSeq lists it as uncharacterized. The transcript has 2 exons. NCBI's taxonomy places the organism in Eukaryota, Metazoa, Chordata, Actinopteri, Cypriniformes, Cyprinidae. The record is from RefSeq and is a predicted model, not a curated record.